This 76-nucleotide transfer RNA is filed under the name Synergistota bacterium. RNAcentral's name for it is "Synergistetes bacterium tRNA-Ile". It matches the Rfam family "tRNA". From Rfam's summary of the family: Transfer RNA (tRNA) molecules are approximately 80 nucleotides in length. The record is from RNAcentral. RNAcentral also lists the same sequence under 1 other name. Lineage: Bacteria; Thermotogati; Synergistota.
GGGCCCAUAGCUCAAGGGUUAGAGCCGCCGGCUCAUAACCGGAAGGUUCCUGGUUCAAAUCCAGGUGGGCCCACCA